RNAcentral lists this ribosomal RNA (495 nucleotides) under Listeria monocytogenes. RNAcentral describes it as "bacterial SSU rRNA". It matches the Rfam family "Bacterial small subunit ribosomal RNA", at positions 28 to 504 of the family's 1533-position model. The record is from RNAcentral. Lineage: Bacteria; Bacillati; Bacillota; Bacilli; Caryophanales; Listeriaceae.
GACGAACGCUGGCGGCGUGCCUAAUACAUGCAAGUCGAACGAACGGAGGAAGAGCUUGCUCUUCCAAAGUUAGUGGCGGACGGGUGAGUAACACGUGGGCAACCUGCCUGUAAGUUGGGGAUAACUCCGGGAAACCGGGGCUAAUACCGAAUGAUAAAGUKUGGCGCAUGCCAYGCUUUUGAAAGAUGGUUUCGGCUAUCGCUUACAGAUGGGCCCGCGGUGCAUUAGCUAGUUGGUAGGGUAAUGGCCUACCAAGGCAACGAUGCAUAGCCGACCUGAGAGGGUGAUCGGCCACACUGGGACUGAGACACGGCCCAGACUCCUACGGGAGGCAGCAGUAGGGAAUCUUCCGCAAUGGACGAAAGUCUGACGGAGCAACGCCGCGUGUAUGAAGAAGGUUUUCGGAUCGUAAAGUACUGUUGUUAGAGAAGAACAAGGAUAAGAGUAACUGCUUGUCCCUUGACGGUAUCUAACCAGAAAGCCACGGCUAACUAC